RNAcentral lists this ribosomal RNA (332 nucleotides) under uncultured bacterium. Its description in RNAcentral is "bacterial SSU rRNA". It matches the Rfam family "Bacterial small subunit ribosomal RNA", at positions 568 to 898 of the family's 1533-position model. The record is from RNAcentral.
UGUGUAGGCGGACUGGCAUGCGUCUUGUGAAAUCCCCCGGCUCAACCGGGGAAUUGCUGGACGAACUACCAGCCUUGAGGCAAGUAGGGGUGCGCGGAACUCUUGGUGGAGCGGUGGAAUGCGUAGAUAUCAAGAGGAACGCCGGCGGUGAAGACGGCGCACUAGGCUUGCCCUGACGCUGAGACACGAAAGCGUGGGGAGCAAACAGGAUUAGAUACCCUGGUAGUCCACGCCCUAAACUAUGUCUACUAGGUUGCGGACGUUCUGACACGUCCGGAGCCGAAGCAAAAGUGUUUAGUAGACCGCCUGGGGAGUACGGUCGCAAGGCUAAA